This 237-nucleotide ribosomal RNA is filed under the name uncultured Staphylococcus sp. RNAcentral describes it as "partial 16S ribosomal RNA". It matches the Rfam family "Bacterial small subunit ribosomal RNA", at positions 104 to 334 of the family's 1533-position model. Lineage: Bacteria; Bacillati; Bacillota; Bacilli; Caryophanales; Staphylococcaceae. The record is from RNAcentral.
GGGUGAGUAACACGUGGAUAACCUACCGUAUAAGACUGGGAUAACUUCGGGAAACCGGAGCUAAUACCGGAUAAUAUUUUGAACCGCAUGGUUCAAAAGUGAAAGACGGUCUUGCUGUCACUUAUAGAUGGAUCCGCGCUGCAUUAGCUAGUUGGUAAGGUAACGGCUUACCAAGGCAACGAUGCAUAGCCGACCUGAGAGGGUGAUCGGCCACACUGGAACUGAGACACGGUCCAG